Molecule: ribosomal RNA, 447 nt
Filed under: uncultured bacterium
Lineage: Bacteria
Description: bacterial SSU rRNA
Rfam family: Bacterial small subunit ribosomal RNA
Source: RNAcentral
UCGGGAAUUUUGGGCAAUGGGCGAAAGCCUGACCCAGCAACGCCGCGUGAAGGAUGAAGUAUUUCGGUAUGUAAACUUCGAAAGAAUAGGAAGAAUAAAUGACGGUACUAUUUAUAAGGUCCGGCUAACUACGUGCCAGCAGCCGCGGUAAUACGUAGGGACCAAGCGUUGUUCGGAUUUACUGGGCGUAAAGGGCGCGUAGGCGGCCAGAUAAGUCCCGGGUGAAAUCCCUCGGCUCAACCGAGGAACUGCCUUGGAAACUGUCUGGCUCGAGGCCGGGAGAGGGUAGUGGAAUUCCCAGUGUAGCGGUGAAAUGCGUAGAUACUGGGAGGAACACCGGUGGCGAAGGCGGCUACCUGGACCGGUCCUGACGCUGAUGCGCGAAAGCGUGGGGAGCAAACAGGAUUAGAUACCCACGUAGUCCCUGAGCGGGCUGGCAAGGCGCAU